This 346-nucleotide RNase P RNA is filed under the name Clostridia bacterium. Its description in RNAcentral is "RNase P RNA component class A". It matches the Rfam family "Bacterial RNase P class A". From Rfam's summary of the family: Ribonuclease P (RNase P) is a ubiquitous endoribonuclease, found in archaea, bacteria and eukarya as well as chloroplasts and mitochondria. Its best characterised activity is the generation of mature 5'-ends of tRNAs by cleaving the 5'-leader elements of precursor-tRNAs. Lineage: Bacteria; Bacillati; Bacillota; Clostridia. The record is from RNAcentral.
CAAGUACGCCUGACGGUCGCGGAUAUGACUCGAAAGGGUAUAUCUGAGGAAAGUCCGGGCUCCAUAGGGUAGGGAUGCCGGCUAACGGCCGGUGGAGGUGACUCCAAGGAAAGUGCAACAGAAAAUUACCGCAAUCGUUUAGGUUGUAAGGGUGAAAAGGCGAGGUAAGAGCUCACCGCCGCUAUGGUAACACAGCGGGCUGUGUAAACCCCAUCCGGAGCAACACCGCAGAAGAAACACGUAGGUUGACCCGACCGUUUCAAAGGUGGCUAAAGCUGCACGGCAACGUGCAUGCGCAGAUAGAUGACCGUCCACGACAGAACCCGGCUUACGGCGUGCUUGCAUA